This 76-nucleotide small RNA is filed under the name Sphingobium sp. TKS. RNAcentral describes it as "Makes More Granules Regulator RNA (mmgR)". It matches the Rfam family "Makes More Granules Regulator RNA (mmgR)". Rfam says of the family: SuhB later renamed mmgR (makes more granules regulator) was a putative non-coding RNA found multiple times in the Agrobacterium tumefaciens genome and related alpha-proteobacteria. Other non-coding RNAs uncovered in the same analysis include: speF, ybhL, metA, and serC. Several studies inSinorhizobium meliloti showed that suhB element is indeed a non-coding RNA:firstly it was detected on Northern blot and called Sm8RNA, secondly in an RNAseq study referred to as SmelC689. The record is from Rfam by way of RNAcentral. Lineage: Bacteria; Pseudomonadati; Pseudomonadota; Alphaproteobacteria; Sphingomonadales; Sphingobiaceae.
AGGAAAGGCCUUUCAGGCAUCCUCUCCUAUAAACUUUACGGGCUGGCCUUCGGGCCGGCCCUUUUUUUAUUCCUUC